Molecule: ribosomal RNA, 1485 nt
Filed under: uncultured bacterium
Lineage: Bacteria
Description: 16S ribosomal RNA
Rfam family: Bacterial small subunit ribosomal RNA
Source: RNAcentral
ACGCUGGCGGCAGGCCUAACAGGUGUUAAGUCGAGCGGAUGAAGGGAGCUUGCUCCUGGAUUCAGCGGCGGACGGGUGAGUAAUGCCUAGGAAUCUGCCUGGUAGUGGGGGAUAACGUCCGGAAACGGGCGCUAAUACCGCAUACGUCCUGAGGGAGAAAGUGGGGGAUCUUCGGACCUCACGCUAUCAGAUGAGCCUAGGUCGGAUUAGCUAGUUGGUGGGGUAAAGGCCUACCAAGGCGACGAUCCGUAACUGGUCUGAGAGGAUGAUCAGUCACACUGGAACUGAGACACGGUCCAGACUCCUACGGGAGGCAGCAGUGGGGAAUAUUGGACAAUGGGCGAAAGCCUGAUCCAGCCAUGCCGCGUGUGUGAAGAAGGUCUUCGGAUUGUUAAGCACUUUAAGUUGGGAGGAAGGGCAGUAAGUUAAUACCUUGUUGUUUUGACGUUACCAAUAGAAUAAGCACCGGUUAACUUCGUGCCAGCAGCUGCGUUAAUACGAAGGGUGUAAGUGUUUAUCGGAAUUACUGGGCGUAAAGCGUGCGUUAGGUGGGUUCAGCAAGUUGGAUGUGAAAUCCCCGGGCUCCUACCUGGGAAACUGUAUUCAAAACUACUGUAGCUAGAGACGGUUAGAGGGGUGGGUGGAAUUUCCUGUGUAGCGGGGGAAAUUGCGUAUAUAUUAGGAGGGAACACUAGGUGGUGGAAGGCGACCCCCUGGUACUGAAUACUGAACACUGAGGUGCAAAAGCGUGGGGGAGCAAACAGGAUUUAGAUCCCCUGGUAGUCCACGCCGUAAACGAUGUCGACUAGCCGUGGGAUCCUUAAGAUCUUAGUGGCGCAGCUAACGCGAUAAGUCGACCCCCUGGGGAGUACGGCCGCAAGGUUAAAACUCAAAUGAAUUGACGGGGGCCCGCACAAGCGGUGGAAGCAUGUGGUUUAAUUCGAAGCAACGCGAAGAACCUUACCUGGCCUUGACAUGCUGAGAACUUUCCAGAGAUGGAUUGGUGCCUUCGGGAACUCAGACACAGGUGCUGCAUGGCUGUCGUCAGCUCGUGUCGUGAGAUGUUGGGUUAAGUCCCGUAACGAGCGCAACCCUUGUCCUUAGUUACCAGCACCUCGGGUGGGCACUCUAAGGAGACUGCCGGUGACAAACCGGAGGAAGGUGGGGAUGACGUCAAGUCAUCAUGGCCCUUACGGCCAGGGCUACACACGUGCUACAAUGGUCGGUACAAAGGGUUGCCAAGCCGCGAGGUGGAGCUAAUCCCAUAAAACCGAUCGUAGUCCGGAUCGCAGUCUGCAACUCGACUGCGUGAAGUCGGAAUCGCUAGUAAUCGUGAAUCAGAAUGUCACGGUGAAUACGUUCCCGGGCCUUGUACACACCGCCCGUCACACCAUGGGAGUGGGUUGCUCCAGAAGUAGCUAGUCUAACCGCAAGGGGGACGGUUACCACGGAGUGAUUCAUGACUGGGGUGAAGUCGUAACAAGG